CGUUCCAGAAUCCUUACGAGGCAGGCAGUGGGAUAUGCAAUGGGCCAGGCCUGAUGCAGGCAUGGCGGGGUAUGAGAAGCUUCGGUUGUAAAGUUACGUCAGGCAGCGAGGAGAAGUAUGGUUAAUAGCGGUAUCGUUUUCGACGUUAGCUGCAGAAGAAGCACCGCUAACUCCGUGCCCAGCAGCGCGUAAAUACGGAGGGUGCGAGCGUUAAUCGGGAAUUACUGGGCGUAAAGCGCAUGCAGGUGGUUUGUUAAGUCAGAUGUGAAAGCCCGGGGCUCCAUCCUCGGAAUUGCAUUGAAACUGGCAGGCUAGAGUACUGUAGAGGGGGGUAGAAUCUCAGGUGUAGCGGUGAAAUGCGUAGAGAUCUGAAGGAAUACCGGUGGCGAAGGCGGCCCCCUGGACAGAUACUGACACUCAGAUGCGAAAGCGUGGGGAGCAAACAGGAUUAGAUACCCUGGUAGUCCACGCCGUAAACGAUGUCUACUUGGAGGUUGUGGCCUUGAGCCGUGGCUUUCGGAGCUAACGCGUUAAGUAGACCGCCUGGGGAGUACGGUCGCAAGAUUAAAACUCAAAUGAAUUGACGGGGGCCCGCACAAGCGGUGGAGCAUGUGGUUUAAUUCGAUGCAACGCGAAGAACCUUACCUACUCUUGACAUCCAGAGAACUUAGCAGAGAUGCUUUGGUGCCUUCGGGAACUCUGAGACAGGUGCUGCAUGGCUGUCGUCAGCUCGUGUUGUGAAAUGUUGGGUUAAGUCCCGCAACGAGCGCAACCCUUAUCCUUGUUUGCCAGCGAGUAAUGUCGGGAACUCCAGGGAGACUGCCGGUGAUAAACCGGAGGAAGGUGGGGACGACGUCAAGUCAUCAUGGCCCUUACGAGUAGGGCUACACACGUGCUACAAUGGCGCAUACAGAGGGCGGCCAACUUGCGAAAGUGAGCGAAUCCCAAAAAGUGCGUCGUAGUCCGGAUUGGAGUCUGCAACUCGACUCCAUGAAGUCGGAAUCGCUAGUAAUCGUGAAUCAGAAUGUCACGGUGAAUACGUUCCCGGGCCUUGUACACACCGCCCGUCACACCAUGGGAGUAGAGUGCUAAUCGAAGCUACGAGGAGUAAGUCGUAACAAGUAACCAUGCUAGACGUGUGC
This 1142-nucleotide ribosomal RNA is filed under the name Vibrio fluvialis. Its description in RNAcentral is "bacterial SSU rRNA". It matches the Rfam family "Bacterial small subunit ribosomal RNA", at positions 327 to 1533 of the family's 1533-position model. The record is from RNAcentral. Lineage: Bacteria; Pseudomonadati; Pseudomonadota; Gammaproteobacteria; Vibrionales; Vibrionaceae.